GACUGAAAAAGGCAAACCGUGCGAAAGCACGGGACGCAAAGUCACGGUCUACCGGGUUGAUGCCCCAUGACGGCGGGACUGCCAGA
This 86-nucleotide non-coding RNA is filed under the name Massilia consociata. Its description in RNAcentral is "c-di-GMP sequence". It matches the Rfam family "c-di-GMP-I riboswitch aptamer". From Rfam's summary of the family: GEMM was predicted in a large-scale screen for bacterial structured RNA regulatory elements. Lineage: Bacteria; Pseudomonadati; Pseudomonadota; Betaproteobacteria; Burkholderiales; Oxalobacteraceae. RNAcentral also lists the same sequence under 1 other name. The record is from RNAcentral.